Molecule: ribosomal RNA, 215 nt
Filed under: Campeiostachys nutans
Lineage: Eukaryota; Viridiplantae; Streptophyta; Magnoliopsida; Poales; Poaceae
Description: Elymus nutans partial small subunit ribosomal RNA
Rfam family: Eukaryotic small subunit ribosomal RNA (bases 38-215)
Source: RNAcentral
GGAUUAAUUUAUUGGUCGUGCUAUUGUACGUACUGAUAUUAUUGAUUCCUACCUUCUGACGAAUCAUGAUGUCAUUAAUUUGGUGUUAUGGGGAGUUAGGACUGUUACUUUGAAAAAAUCAGAGUGUUUAAAGCAGGCUCACGCUUGAAUACAUUAGCAUGGAAUAAUGAAAUAGGACGUUUGAUUCUAUUUUGUUGGUUUCUAGGAUCGACGUA